UACGUAGGGGGCAAGCGUUAUCCGGAAUCACUGGGCGUAAAGGGUGCGUAGGUGGUUCUUCAAGUCAGAAGUGAAAGGCAGUGGCUUAACCAUUGUAAGCUUUUGAAACUGAAGAACUUGAGUGCAGGAGAGGUAAGUGGAAUUCCUAGUGUAGCGGUGAAAUGCGUAGAUAUUAGGAGGAACACCAGUGGCGAAGGCGACUUACUGGACUGUAACUGACACUGAGGCACGAAAGCGUGGGGAGCGAACAGG
This 252-nucleotide ribosomal RNA is filed under the name uncultured bacterium. Its description in RNAcentral is "partial 16S ribosomal RNA". It matches the Rfam family "Bacterial small subunit ribosomal RNA", at positions 524 to 776 of the family's 1533-position model. The record is from RNAcentral.